UCCAAAAUUGCAAGUAUCCCCCCUUUCCCUUCCUGCACAGUAAACCCUAACAUCCCAAAAAGAACUUCGCCACCAGACAAAGUUAGGGUUUUUCAAUGGCUGAUCGCAACUUGGCGGUCGUGAAACCAAUAUGGAUGAAGCAAGCAGAAGAGGCGAAGCUGAAGAGUGAGGCCGAGAAGACUGCUGCGGCGAAAGCAGCCUUUGAGGCCACGUUCAAGGACGUGGAGAAGAACCGUGAGGCGGCUUCGUCGGAUAGUGAUGGUGAAGAAGAAUCUGAGGACUUGGCGAACAAGCCGAUUGGGCCGGUUGACCCAGCCAAGUGUGCGGCGGCUGGGGCUGGGAUAGCCGGUGGAACGGCAUGCACACCAUCAUCUUUUAUGGUUGUGACGAAGGAUUCUGAUGGAAGGAAGGUACCAAACGGUGGUGCGCAAGUUAAAGUGAAGGUUUCCCCUGGAGUGGGCGUUGGGGGCUCCGAGCAGGAUGGGAUUGUGAAGGAUAUGGGUGAUGGGACGUACACGAUUACCUAUGUGGUUCCAAAGAGAGGGAAUUAUAUGUUGAGCGUUGAGUGCAAUGGGAAGCCAAUAAUGGGUAGCCCCUUUCCAGUGUUUUUCAGUGCAGGUACUACUACUGGAGGACUCCUGGGUUUGGCUCCGGCGGCCUCAUUUCCAAAUUUAGUUAACCAGACCAUGCCCAAUAUGCCAAAUUAUUCGGGUUCCGUAUCGGGGGCAUUCCCUGGUUUGCUUGGAAUGAUUCCAGGCAUUAUUCCUGGUGCUUCAGGAGGAGUGCUUUUGCCUGGAGUUGGAGCAUCUCUUGGAGAAGUUUGCCGAGAAUAUCUUAAUGGUCGGUGUGCAAAAACAGAUUGCAAGUUCAAUCACCCUCCUCACAAUCUCCUGAUGACUGCUUUGGCCGCCACGACCAGCAUGGGGAAUGUCAGUCAAGUGCCCAUGGCACCAUCUGCAGCUGCAAUGGCUGCUGCUCAGGCAAUUGUUGCUGCUCAAGCCCUUCAAGCCCAUGCUCAUGCACAAGCACAAGCUCAGUCUGCCAGGGACUCUUCUGGAUCAGCUGACAAAGAGGGGAAGGCUGAUUCCUUGAAGAGGACUCUACAAGUUAGCAAUCUCAGUCCACUUCUCACAGUGGAUCAGUUGAAACAACUUUUCAGUUUUUGUGGGACAAUUGUUGAAUGUAGUAUCACUGAUUCGAAGCAUUUUGCCUACAUAGAAUACUCAAAACCUGAAGAAGCAACUGCUGCUUUGGCAUUGAACAAUAUGGAUGUUGGGGGUCGUCCAUUGAAUGUUGAAAUGGCAAAAUCACUUCCACAAAAACCAGCUCUUUUGAACUCACCUCUUUCUUCAUCUUCUUUGCCCAUGGUGAUGCAACAAGCUGUGGCCAUGCAACAGAUGCAAUUUCAGCAGGCCCUGUUAAUGCAACAAACAAUGACAGCACAGCAGGCAGCUAACCGAGCUGCUACCAUGAAGACUGCAACAGAACUAGCAGCAGCUAGAGCUGCAGAAAUAAGCAAGAAGCUGAAAGCCGAUGGAUUUGGAAAUAAUGAUGAGGAAACAAAUCGAAAAUCUAGGUCACCAUCCCCCACCACCCGUGCUAGGUCACCAUCAAUCACUCGUGGAAGGUCAAGAUCCAAGUCGAGAUCUCCUAUCAAUUAUCGGCGAAGGCGGAGAUCUCGUUCUUACUCGCCUCGAUACCGUCAAUCAAGAGAUCAUAGAUCAAGAUCACCAUUAAGAUCUCGCCAUUACUCCAGCUAUGAAAAUGGACGACGGUCUUAUAGGGACAUUAGGGAUGACGGUGGCAGAGGUAGAAGAAGGGAUUCAGGUAGAUCACAUGACCACCAUUCUUCUGUUUCAAGGAGAAAUAGGAGUAGGAGUAUGAGCCCUCGAACGAGGAAGUCAUAUCGGGGUGAUUCAGACUCACCAAAACAUCGUCGAGAUAGUUCAACACACAGGACGAGGAAACCAUCGCGUGCUAGUUCAAAGUCACCAGGGCAUAGAGGAAGUAGGGCGUCCCCGAGAAGUGAUGAUUUAAUUAAAUCAAAACACAGAAGGCGUUCCAGGUCAAAAUCUGCUGAAGUUAAGCAUCAAUCCAAGGAUAAAUUAGAUGACAGCAGAGAAGAAAAAACAAAGCAUCGGAGUAGAAGACGGUCGAGGUCAGUAUCAGAGGAAGGUAAGCAUCACAGAGGAAGUAGGUUAUCCCCAAGAAUUUUGGAUGAAAGCAGAUCAAAGCACAGAAGGCGGUCCAUGUCAAAAUCUCCAGAAGAUAAGCAUCACUCCGAUAAUAAAAAGAAAAGAAGCAGAGAUGAGAAAUCAAAACAUGACAGGAGGCGGUCCAGGUCAAUAUCUGCAGAGGGUAAGCGUCAGAAAGGAAGCAGGACAUCCCCAAGACAUUUGGAUGAACACAAGUCAAAAUAUAGAAAGCGCUCACGGUCAAAAUCGUCUGAAAAUAGGAGUCGUUCAAAUGAUAAUAGUAUAGAAGAAAGUAAAGAUGAAAAUUUAGAGCAUCAUGAUAGAAUACCUGUCAGAUCUGAUGAUUCCAUUGAGGAACCUGCAUUGCAUUCAAAGGAUUUGACUGAUGAGAAGGAUGAAGGGAUAUCAGUUUCUUUAGCAGCUGCUUACAAAGAGAGCUCCUCGAUUAUGGAAGACUACAACUCAGAAGGCAGAAGUGACGAAGAUAAGCAUAACAGUUCUAGAGGGAAUGGGAGCAAUUAUCAUGAGAAAAAUGAGGUUACCAAUGAGGAUCAGUAUAAUGCUGAAGAAAUAUGAACUGAGUAAUGCAGACACUAUAAUUUGAAGAGUUUCCUCAGUGGGAGAUGAUUUUGGACAUUACAUCUACAGUGGAAAGUUUGGUCUGAUUUAGAAAGCAAGUUGAGAUUCAUAUUGAAAAAUUUAUCCAAGUUUUUCUAGUGGGGAAAGAGGUCCUGCUUAGUGGAAGAAGGGCUGUCUCUUAGAAGAUCGCUUGGUGUUCCGUUUGGUGCUCAGAAUUUUUCUGUGGAUUUUUGGCUCUUCAUACAAUAAAAUUCUGUGUUUGUUUUCUUUUGCAGGUUCAGUGGUUACAGAUCGGCUAUACUGUCUGAGCUGAUCUUAUCAUGGUAAGAGAAUUUGAAGAAGCUUUCUGUUCCCCCUCUGGGAUCGACUGUGCAAUGUUUUUAGAGAACUUUAACAUCAUGAUGCCUGCUUGAUCUAAAUAAGUUGCUGCAUUUAUGCCCUUUGGCGAAGAUGGCCAUACUUCUAUAAACUGAGAAGACGAACAUGCACUGUUUUAGAUGCUGGUCUCUAUUGGCGCUUUAUCAGAUCAAUUUGGCAGGGUUGUUUUAUCUGAUUGCAUAUGAAGGUAUGCAGUUGCGGAUUUUGGUAGUUCAUGACAGGAGCUCUUGCUGUUAAACUUUCAAGGAAUUUCUUUAUAUUUGGGAGUUUAGCUGGAUAUUGUUUGGGAUGUGAAGAUUUCUUUAUGAAGUCUAAGUUUUUAUUUUUAUGAAUAUUGUUUAAAUCUUGUACCUUACUUCCUCAUCUUCUCUUUUCCCCCCCUCUAUUUCUCCCUUAUUCUAUUCCCCUUUUCCAUUUUCUUCAUUUUCUUUCUUUUCCUCCUUUGGGAAUUGUUUGGUUAGGUAAACUACUUUUAAAGUCUACUCCAACCAGAUGUUGCUGAGAUGACUAGCGUCAAUGUUGCACCAUGUUGAGUAUGAGCAGAUUGGCUGACUAAUAUACUUAAAUUCAUGCUGAAAUUCAAAUAUUUUAUAACAGGUAAUUCUUUUGUGAAAUUGUUGAAUUCAGAUAUGAAACUUAAUAUGUCGUUCGUAGAAGCUUCAGUUAGUGUUGGCCACUUAGAUGUGUGCCUAUUGACCAUGCGGAUCCUUAUGAAAUUUGGGUGUUUUUUUGAUCUAUAUUACUUGUCCUACAUUAAAACUUGUAUGUUACUUGGGAAUUAUUAGUGUACCUUUCUUAUUUGGGGCUCGGAAAAAACCUACAAUUUUUUAUUUAUUUUUAUGUUGAAUAAAAAACGUACAAUGUUGCUGCAUGCUUUAUAUAUAUAUUUCCACUACCCCCACAAAGAUCGUGAUCGUCUCUAUUGCUUAUGACAUGACCACAAUUUUCAUCGUCUGUGGCUAGUCAUUCUUUUUCUUGGGGACCUGUAGCCCAGACAUCUAGUUUUGUUUCAACUAUAAGAGAUCAUAUAUGACAUUUACAAAUGUGACUAAUGCAUGUUCCCAAGGCUCCAGUUGAUUGCUUCUUGUAACUAACAUUCAUGAUGGGGAGCGGCAGAGAAAUCGCUCUCGUCAUGAUCCUGCUGUGUCUAAUUUUGUUCUGAAAACUGUAAUUUGUCUUUGAUAAGUUUGUCCCAUUUUACUCUAGUUUGUGCUUGGUUUCAUCAGUGUCUGAAACCUAUAUAUUUUUCUGAAAACUGUAAUUUGGCUUUGAUAAGUUUGUCCAACUUUACACUAGUUUGUGCUUGGUUUGUUAUGUGUCUGAAACCUAUAUAUUUUUCUUCUCUCUCUUGGCAUUUCUUCUUCCCCAAUCCCCCCCUCCUCUCUGUUUCUGUUGCUUGGUAGGAUAUGCUGUGGAUGUGGACUGAAGGCUGAAAUUGUGGUUCCAAACUCCGGGCUUAAUGCAUUUAGCGCGACAUUGAUGUUACUUUUUUUUCCUUCUCUUUUUCUGUCUUCCCCCAUCUUUUUGUCCUUUUUUUCUUCUUUUUCUCUCUUCCCCCAUCUUCUUUUUAUCCUUUUUCUUUCCCCUUUCUUUCUUCUUUCUUUUUCUUUUCUUUUCUUUUUUUUUUUUUUUGGUUUGUUUGUUUUUUGGUGCAAGGAUGAUAGCUCUAGAUGAAGGAAAUGUGCACCGAGCUGAGGAGAUCCGCAUGUAGUUUUCUUGACCACUAUUUUUAGAACUUGAUCUUUUUGGUUUGACUUAACUGUGGCGUAGUCUGCUAUUUUCAGAACUUUUAUCUUUCUCUCAGUAAAUACUAUUUUGAGAACUUCAUCUC
RNA transcript from Cornus florida, 4983 nucleotides. RefSeq lists it as uncharacterized. The transcript is spliced from 7 exons. Lineage: Eukaryota; Viridiplantae; Streptophyta; Magnoliopsida; Cornales; Cornaceae. The record is from RefSeq and is a predicted model, not a curated record.